ACACGGGGAGGUAGUGACAAU
RNAcentral lists this non-coding RNA (21 nucleotides) under Arabidopsis thaliana (thale cress). The record is from RNAcentral. Lineage: Eukaryota; Viridiplantae; Streptophyta; Magnoliopsida; Brassicales; Brassicaceae.